RNAcentral lists this ribosomal RNA (459 nucleotides) under uncultured bacterium. Its description in RNAcentral is "partial 16S ribosomal RNA". It matches the Rfam family "Bacterial small subunit ribosomal RNA", at positions 338 to 795 of the family's 1533-position model. The record is from RNAcentral.
ACUACGGGAGGCAGCAGUGAGGAAUAUUGGUCAAUGGGCGCGAGCCUGAACCAGCCAAGUCGCGUGAGGGAAGACGGUCCUCUGGAUUGUAAACCUCUUUUGUCGGGGAGCAAACGACGCCACGCGUGGCGUUCCGAGAGUACCCGAAGAACAAGCAUCGGCUAACUCCGUGCCAGCAGCCGCGGUAAUACGGAGGAUGCGAGCGUUAUCGGGAGUUAUUGGGUUAAAAGGGUGCGCAGGCGGAAGAUCAAGUCAGCGGGAAAAUUGCGGGGCUCAAACUCGACGAGCCGUUGAAACUGGGAUUCUGGAGUGAAGGAGGAGUAGGCGGAAUGCGUGGUGUAGCGGUGAAAUGCAUAGAUAUCACGAAGAACUCCGAUUGCGAAGGCAGCAUACCGGCGCUUAACUGACGCUCAGGCACGAAAGUGUGGGUAUCGAACAGGAUUAGAUACCCGAGUAGUC